AAAAAAACCAUGCAACCAUGCAGCACUUGCUACCAAGAUAUUAUAGCCUCUAGCUCUUCAGGAAUACAGCUGUGGUCUCUGGAGAGCUGAGAUAAGCAUCAGUCUUAUGGGAGACAUGCCCUGCUUUGGGCUCUGAUUUGACUUCUUGCAACAAAAUGCCCAUUUUCCCUCAAUUGUAUAGGGAUUUAAUACUCCAGACUGAGGUGCUCUGAAUUAAAAUUCAGUUUUGUGCCAAGAGCAAAGGAGAAACAUCCAAAGUGGGGAGCAAACACCGCAAAUUCACAUCUGGCAUUGGUCUCCCACCCCCUUCUGCAGUAGCCAGUGGGUGUGAUACCAGGGAAUUGUCCUCAGCUUGUUGUAGGGCAAAUUAAUUAGCCAGGAGGAGCACAGCCAAUUACAAAGCAAGAAAUUUGAUUGAUAAAGGCACACUAAUUAGGGUAAAGGCAGAAAUUUGGUGUUUGAAUUUAUGGUGUCUUUUAAAGGCCUGUCAGAGGGUGGCCCUGAAUGCAAAACUUGACAGAAAUCUCUAUAGUUGUGGACUGGGACAGGUCUCCAGCUUAGCCCCAGGAGAUACCAUCUUCAUUGUCCCUGACUAUCUCAGCUACAGCAGGAGCAUUUUGGACACUGCUUGGAGCUUCACGGACAGGAAAAUCCCCAUCACCCCUGCCAAAGACACUGACCACUGAGGUGGGGGACAGAUCCUGUGUGAGGACCUGCCUCUGCAAAAGCCAUCAGGGUUCAUCUGUGUGAGCAGUGCAUCAUUUUGGCAGGGCAGGGCUCAGCACAGCCAUGCUCCAGCACCAUGCAGCUAUAGGGGCCGUGCCUGUGUCCUUGCAGCAGGCCAGCAGCAGUCCUGCAGAGGGAAGACAAGGGUCCUGACUCCCCAUCCAGCACUCCAUCGGCUGCUUUAGCUUACCUUGUGUUGUACUCAAGUGCACGGUUAUUUGUAUUCAUUGAAACAAAUUGCAUUACAAUGUCUCUAACAGUAUUUGUAAAACAUCAGAACUCUGAUUCAUAAGCGUGAUUGCCCUUUUAUUCUUCCAUUUGCGUUUCUUUCCUCCUGCAUUCGACCUUCACACUUUAAACGUGCUUCAUUAAGAUAGUAGGAAAAAUAACUAGUGGCACAUUCUAGCCAAAGGAAGGCUGCAGAAACCAACCAAAGCAUUCAGAAUAUGAACAUUGUCAAAAUAUAAGUAAGAGAAAGUACGACAGAAGCCAGAUGGGCUGGGCUCUUCACUUUUAGGCUUUAGAAUGUUUGAGGGUGGAAAUCAUACUCAGGCUGGAGGGAUCCUGCUGGUUUUUCUAGCCAAGAUUCCCAUUAGUGAUAACCUUCAGUUUUUUAUAUGCUCUGCCAUGCAAAGUGACUCAGUCUGGGGCUACCUGGCGUUCCUGGCCAGGUAAAGACAACUUGCUGCAGUCCUCAGGUAACUCUCCUCUUCACUGCAACCUCCUCUCAAGGACACAAGCACAGACCUCCACCCUCUCCCAAUGCCUACAGCACCGAGCCUGACAUG
Molecule: long non-coding RNA, 1514 nt
Filed under: Anser brachyrhynchus (Pink-footed goose)
Lineage: Eukaryota; Metazoa; Chordata; Aves; Anseriformes; Anatidae
Description: lncRNA (ENSABRG00000009381.1)
Source: RNAcentral